This 2344-nucleotide long non-coding RNA is filed under the name Equus caballus (horse). RNAcentral describes it as "lncRNA (ENSECAG00000043978.1)". Lineage: Eukaryota; Metazoa; Chordata; Mammalia; Perissodactyla; Equidae. The record is from RNAcentral.
AAAUCCAUUAUGACUGAAUGACUAACUCAAAGAUUCAAGAAAUUAUUAUUUAGUUCGUAAAUUACUCAAAACUCUUAAUACUUGAAAUUCCUCAGCUUGUUACAAUCUUCAAUUAAUUGUUUAAUAAGACAAAGAAGAUGAACUCCAAUCAGUAAAGUUUCCUUCUCAUGUAUAAUCUGGUUGAUUCAGCUCUUUUAGAAGGAAGGCAAAACUAAUUUAGGAUGCUGCCCUUAAAUGCUCAGGCCCACUCACGUAGUCUCCCUAGUUCUGACGUCUUAACAUCAGUGGGGAACACUUGAGAAGAUUAGAUGGCAGAAGAGAGAAGGCAGUGGGCCUUGAGAGCAGCAGCUAAGGAGCCUCUCUUGCUCUCUUGAAGAGAGAAGUGUCACCUGGAAAGAGAAACAGGGAGCUGGUAGUCUCAGCGUUUUCCAGAGGAUACCGACUUUUGAGGCAAUGGCCCAGAGUGGCCACAUGUGUCUUGAAUAAUCGAAAUAACCUUUGCCUUUCACCGGGAGCCUCUUAAAGAUCAGAGAAACCAAGGAAGUAAUUUCAAGAUAUAAGAGGAAGUCAACAGGAUCACAUAUACUAAAAGAUGUCAAGGAAAUAAAGAGAGAAAAACUUCCAUUGGAUUUGUGCGGGAGCCUUGAACAAACACGUGUGCUACACGACACACCAGUUCUGGAGCUCCUUCUUGUGUUCUUCCCAAUAACCCCGCCCUGUGUGAAUAUGAAGCAUCAUAUACCUAUAAGCUUGAUGAGCAGUGUGUAUGUCCACGCGUAGGAUCUGAACCUGUGAACCCCAGGCUGCCAAAGAAGAGUGUGUGAACUUAACCACUAUGCCACUGGGCUGGCCCAAAGGCCUUCUGUUUUUAAGAGCGUCUAGACUCGAAGAGAUUUAAGAAACUUGUCCAAAGACGCAAAGCUGGAAGAUCAGCCCUGAGCUAACAUCUGCUGCCAAUCCUCCUCUUUUUGCUGAAGAAGACCGGCCCUGAGCUAACAUCCGUGCCCAUCUUCCUCUACUUUAUAUGUGGGACGCCUACCAUAGCAUGGCGUGCCAAGUGGUGCCAUGUCUGCACCCAGGAUCCGAACCAGCGAACCGGGGCCUGCUGAAGCAGAACGUGUGCACUUAACCACUGCGCCACCGGCCCGGCCCCUAAAAAAAAAUUUCAGUUUUGGAAAAUCGGAUUUUAAUAACUUUAACUUGAGAGCAUUUACACAGAAGGUAUGAGAGUAAAACUUUCAUAGGUUUUGGUUAAGUUUACAAGUUUUUCGUUCUCAUUCUCUUGGUCAUAAGGUAUCUCAUCUGUCUCUGUGGUUUAGGGGAGGAAGCCUUCUUUUAACACUACUGUCUACACAGAACAUCAGAAUGAGAUGGUGAGGUAACUAGAAACUUUACUGAUGUGCACGUUGUAUAAUUUAAUUACUUCGUAAACCUAAGCUCAAAAGGAUCAACUAUACAAAGGGAGUUUCAGUUUUUCAUUAUUUGGCAUUUCACAUUAUUAAUAUUUCUUGUUUGGUAGGAUACUUGCAAUUUUGCAUAUUGACUAACAAAGUAAUUAUAGUAUAAUUAUAUCAUUAGCAACAUUUUGUCCUGUUGUUCCUAAGGCUGAAUCCUACAGCAGUUAAAUAUUGAAGUGCUUAGUGAUUAAAAAGUAGGUUCUGUGGUUACCUCUUUGGGGUAACAAUGCUUCUGUUUCUUCUAAUAAGGAAAAGCAGGUGGGAAAAAUACCUAAAAUUGUCCAUUUCAGAAACAAGACUUCUGAAAUGGCAAAGUAAGGAACUCCAAAAAUCUACUCCAUAAAAGCAAUGAGGAUGCUGGAGACAGUGGUCAAUCAGAAUAAACUUUUUCAAAACCCCAGAAAAUAACAAAAGGCUUUACAGUAUAUGAAUUAUAUCUUAAUAAACCAGUUGUAAAAAGGGGCCUGUCUCAUCCAAUCUAGGUUCACCAAAAUAGCUUGCCCAUUUCUGUCUCUGUGGACGGACAUUUAGCUCUCUCCCACUUAUAGACGAUAUUGUGUGGGACAGAAAUUUUGGAGAAAAGUGAAAAAGCAGAAAUAGCCUGAAAAGUAGGCAGCCAGACAGCAAGCAACCAUGUUCAGGGGCAGAGUGGAUGAGUUGUCAGUGCUUGGAAAAUCCCAAUAUUUAACAAAAAUCGAAAGAGGUCUUGUCAAGCCACACAAUGAAAACCCAGCCUCAGACCCCAACAGAUCGCAGAACGAAAGGCCUGGAGUGAGGCAGCAGAGAAUUAAGAAGGGAAUCAGCGGCAUUUGGGUCCCAGUUCAUGUCACAGUUCAGCCACUUACAAGUUAUAUGACAAAUUCUCCACUUUCAGCCUAAAUUCCUCA